GAUCAUGUUAUAGUAAAUAGUAUUUAUAAAGGAUCAGAGUGAACGCAUGGGUUUUCAAAAGCAGAAACUAAUUUUCAAAUGCUGGUUUAGGUUUUAAAAUCCUCUGUAUGUUUGUUUUUCAAAUAUAUGGCAGCAAUAAACAAAAAUACAACGCCUACUAAACAAAAAGAAAGCUUUGCUCCACAACGCCUACUAAACAAUACAAGGCACUAACGGAUGUUGGGUGGCUAGCCCCCUUACCAACUGCAAAAUAGAAAGAGCAAAAUUCUAUUCAAUAUAAAUUGUGGAGCGGAUUAUUGCUCCAUAAUACACACAAAAAUUACAUUUUCAAACUGCCCAAAAACAUUCUAUCAGUUGUUGGGAAACAUAUUUUACAUUAUACAUAAUACCCUAGAUCUGUCCCAAUAUACAGGAUCGGUUUAAUUGGUAAGUAAAGGAUAAAGUUAUACGUUUUUCUGUUGAGCACUUUCAGAUCUGCUUUUACAGUCUCUGGUCAAGACACAAACUGAAAGAAACUGGAAGAGAUGUUUCUCAUAGUGAAAAUAUAUGUAUAUUUAAUUGAGUGAUGAGUCACCCCAUCACAUGUCUAGUGGCUACUCUGUAAUGUUGUAAUAACUGUCUAGCAAUCUGUCCCGGAUAAAUUCGAUUGAACUUUAAUGUCAUAUUUGUAAUGAAAAAUCAAUUUUCUAAAGCUUAAAUGCCAAUGGAGACACGUGCUCCCAUUUUUUGCCCCGUCAGUUGGAUUCCAAUAGUUACUGAAUAAAGAACAAACUACAAAGACAGAAGUCACUGAUAUAUUGGCAUUGCACCUGAUCCUGCUGUUUUAAAGUAUAAAAUGACUAGUACAUCAAAUGCCGUGUCUCAAUCAGUGUAAAUAGACAUAUCUUUCUGAUUAAAGACUCUGAGAACCAGAUUACUCUUUCAUUCAGCUCUAUACUAGAGAUGUCGCGAACCGUCCGCAAACCGUUCGCGGCGAACUCCGGUCAGCUGACACAUCCCGGCCAAUCUCCAGCUGCCUUCAACAUGGAUGCUGUCCAGGAAGUAGGAGGCUCUGGGAGGGAGGGUCUGCUGG
Pelobates cultripes (western spadefoot toad) is the source of this 1072-nucleotide non-coding RNA. Lineage: Eukaryota; Metazoa; Chordata; Amphibia; Anura; Pelobatidae. The record is from the annotation of a GenBank genome assembly.